This 429-nucleotide ribosomal RNA is filed under the name bacterium. RNAcentral describes it as "partial 16S ribosomal RNA". It matches the Rfam family "Bacterial small subunit ribosomal RNA", at positions 355 to 776 of the family's 1533-position model. The record is from RNAcentral.
UAGGGAAUCUUCCACAAUGGACGCAAGUCUGAUGGAGCAACGCCGCGUGAGUGAAGAAGGUUUUCGGAUCGUAAAGCUCUGUUGUUGGUGAAGAAGGAUAGAGGCAGUAACUGGUCUUUAUUUGACGGUAAUCAACCAGAAAGUCACGGCUAACUACGUGCCAGCAGCCGCGGUAAUACGUAGGUGGCAAGCGUUGUCCGGAUUUAUUGGGCGUAAAGCGAGCGCAGGCGGAAUGAUAAGUCUGAUGUGAAAGCCCACGGCUCAACCGUGGAACUGCAGCGGAAACUGUCAUUCUUGAGUGCAGAAGAGGAGAGUGGAAUUCCAUGUGUAGCGGUGGAAUGCGUAGAUAUAUGGAAGAGCACCAGUGGCGAAGGCGGCUCUCUGGGCUGCAACUGACGCUGAGGCUCGAAAGCAUGGGUAGCGAACAGG